GACGAACGCUGGCGGCGUGCUUAACACAUGCAAGUCGAACGGAAAGGCCCUGCUUUUGUGGGGUGCUCGAGUGGCGAACGGGUGAGUAACACGUGAGUAACCUGCCCUUGACUUUGGGAUAACUUCAGGAAACUGGGGCUAAUACCGGAUAGGAGCUCCUGCUGCAUGGUGGGGGUUGGAAAGUUUCGGCGGUUGGGGAUGGACUCGCGGCUUAUCAGCUUGUUGGUGGGGUAGUGGCUUACCAAGGCUUUGACGGGUAGCCGGCCUGGGAGGGUGACCGGCCACAUUGGGACUGAGAAACGGCCCAGACUCCUACGGGAGGCAGCAGUGGGGAAUAUUGCACAAUGGGCGGAAGCCUGAUGCAGCAACGCCGCGUGCGGGAUGACGGCCUUCGGGUUGUAAACCGCUUUCGCCUGUGACGAAGCGUGAGUGACGGUAAUGGGUAAAGAAGCACCGGCUAACUACGUG
Molecule: ribosomal RNA, 468 nt
Filed under: uncultured bacterium
Lineage: Bacteria
Description: partial 16S ribosomal RNA
Rfam family: Bacterial small subunit ribosomal RNA
Source: RNAcentral